AAAAAUGAAAUCAUUAAUGAUAUUUCAUUUACAAUGAAAUUUAGUAUUUACUAUACCAUUUUUU
Molecule: transfer RNA, 64 nt
Filed under: Hyalomma truncatum
Lineage: Eukaryota; Metazoa; Arthropoda; Arachnida; Ixodida; Ixodidae
Description: tRNA-Val
Source: RNAcentral